Molecule: long non-coding RNA, 541 nt
Organism: Leopardus geoffroyi (Geoffroy's cat)
Lineage: Eukaryota; Metazoa; Chordata; Mammalia; Carnivora; Felidae
Exons: 2
Source: RefSeq, a predicted model, not a curated record
AAGGUCUUUUCUUUGCAGUUGUGGGUACACCUGGUAAUUUUUCUCUUAAUCUCUCACUGUCCUUAUAAGAGCUUGUUCCUUGUCUCUGCUCUUCACUAUGUGGGGAUCUGAUGAGAAGAUGGCCAUCUGCACACCAGGAAAGGAUCCUCAUCAGACACUGAAUCUGUUGGUGUCUUGACCUGGGACUGCCCUGCCUCUGAAACUGUAGCAUAUUUCGCAGAAGUGCCUGUCACUCCAGCUCCGCCCUGUGUAGACGGAUGGGAGAGAAUCCCCUCCAAUGACAGUUUCAGCACAAAUCUCAGCAUCUCUCUGCAACUCCAUGGGAGGACAAGAUCUAAAAAUGAAACCUGUAGGGGCCUAUUAAGUGAAGCUAGGCAUCAAGGGAAAGGUCGCCAAGACAACUGGCAUUUUAUCGGCUCAUAUAUCUCUGGUCAUAUCUACUGGGAUGAACAAUCCAAUGUGGCUUUCUGUACGGUGACAAGUGUCUCAUCAGAUUUAUGUGUUUUUCUGGAUUGAUAAAUAUUUUGGCACUGCAUAGACA